RNAcentral lists this long non-coding RNA (3399 nucleotides) under Sus scrofa (pig). Its description in RNAcentral is "lncRNA (ENSSSCG00060006059.1)". Lineage: Eukaryota; Metazoa; Chordata; Mammalia; Artiodactyla; Suidae. The record is from RNAcentral.
GUAACUUGGUUCUUAAAAUGUUCUUUCUUACUGGUGUGAGUGUAAAGAGUCAAAAACAUUCGGAAAAGCAUUUUGGUAAUUACUGUAAACAUUUAAAAUCACAUAUCCUUUAACCCAAGAAUUCCACUUCUAAUAUGGUCUUCCACAGAAAUAUGUGAACAAGAGUUUAUCUUCAUUAGAUAAUUUUUUAAUCAUGAAGACCAAAAGCAAUCGGAAUGUCCCCUAAAGGAAGAAAGUUUGUAUAAAUUAUGAUACCUACAAAUUAUGGUACACCAUGACACCAAAAGAAAGAAUGGAGCAGAACUGUAGUUACUUUAAUGGAAAGAAUAUUGUGAUGUAUUAUUGAAUACAAAAUGAAUUUAUAUAACUUUCAUUAUCAUAUAAUUUUUGUUUAAAAGAAGAAUAGAUUGAUAUGUGUAUAUAUACAUAAAUAUAUACACAUAUAUAAUAUAAGUAUGCACAUAUAUGAUAUGCAUGUUAAUGCAGGAUUAAGAGGUCUGGAAAAAAUAUACACCAAAUUGUUCACAGUGCUGACUUCUGGAGAGCGAAAUUAGGACGGUAUUGAUGCGGAGGAGGCACUUCCAUUUUUAAAAUUUUUGCCAUCAAUUUAUAAUUUAAGAAAAAAACAAAUAUUUAGCACUAUGAAGGCUGAAAUAAAGCUCUCCUUAAUAUCAGAUUAAUUGGUGAGAGAUUUAUAUGAAAGCAGCUUAGCUGCUAAUAAUCCUUUGAAGUGAGGCAUGUUUUGCAUAUGGAAUAAAAGAUUGUGGUUCUUUGGGGGCUUUUCGUAGGUAGUAGUUCUUUUGGAGUCUCCAGCAAAGCUGUAGACUUAGCGGUGAGAGUCCAUUCUUGUCGGUCCAUAACCCUGGCUCCCUGGGAUCUCAGUCACCUUGUGGUUGCUCACAUCUAAUGAAGAACUAACCGAGGUAACUGAGGUUGAACAGGUUAUUCCAACAGGUAGUCAGCCCAAAUUAAUGUGAACAGCUGUUGGGUCUAAAGACAAGUACGGCGGAUGUCAGUACAAAGCAGCUGUUGCUUGGUGAGCUAAACAGUGAGCGGCAUCUCUGUGCCGUGCUGCUGCGUCAGAUUUAGUUACAAGCUCUGGAGACAAAGAUAAAUGCCAGUGUGCAGGUGGGAGUCAAGUGCUAAUUUCCUAUUUUGAGAAAAGCCAAUCACAUUUAUUUUGAUUUUCUACUCUAACAUUAAAUCUACUUCUGACUGCAAAGGAAAUAAUUACCUAUUCUAUAAAGUCGUUAGUUUACUGAGUAGCGUUUUAAAAAAUAACAAAGCCUCUCGUACUAUUCUUGUGUUUUUUAAAAAAUAACUAAUUGAAGACACUCACUGCCAAUAUGUUUUUAAAAUGUGCUAUACAGACACAAUUGCUGUCUCUAGCCAAGUUUUAAUGCUGUAAACAAAAAAUACUAUCUAUUAUUCUUUUAAGGAGUACUUGGUUCAUUGCAGACUUUAGACUGGAGAAUGUCCCUAAAUAUAUAUUUUAAAGGAAUAAGCAAUGCUAUCAGUUUGUAAAAGAUGUUCCAGUGGUGUAACUACAAAAUAAACCCUCAAAACCUGCCUCAUUUUUGCAAACCCUCUGAAAUUAUAUAAAAUGUAUUGUCUCUGUUGUAGAAUUACAUUAAGAGGUAGUAAUGAGAUUUGUCUUUAAAUAAGUUUUUUUUCUGGUUGUGAAAGGAAUAUAUGCCAGAACAUAGAAAAAUAUUAGUAAGAUACCUCAGAAAAUUCAGAAUUCCUCUAAGAAAUAUUGCGGGGAGCCGAGAAAAUGCAGAGACUCGAAAAAAGGACCUUGCCUGACAGCACAAAAACCUGAAGGUAGGUUCCCAACCAAGGAAGGGAGCUCACCUGAACGGUACAAGCCGAAGGUGGGCCUCUGGUCAGGAUGAAAGCCUGCCUGCACGGUACAAGCCGAGGGCAGGCCUCAGGUACACAGCUCUCACUUUGAUGCUGAUGGGGAAGAAUGGGGGCUUCCCUGGGAAAACAAUUUCCAUGUUUGCGCUGGAGAACAUGGAUUGUUUCUCGGGUGACCUAGUCUUUCCUGUUGUUUUAUUCGUUAUUCAGUUUCCCUCAGUCUUUCCUGAUUAUUUACUUCUUAUUCUUAUUUCCCAUUCUUAUUUUCCUGUGGUGAUUUGUGAUUUAACAAAGUUACAACAAUAAUAUAAUAAGAAUUUCAUCCUGAAGGACUUUCCCCUAUUUAAAUCCAACUUAGUUAAAACAUAGUGUUUAUCUAUUAACUAGUUAUAUAGUAAACUUUAGAGUUAGGAUCUUAAUGAGGUUCAUAAAAGUUAGACAUGUAUUAUCCAAAAAACCUAGCUGUGAGUUUUGUCUUUGAUUUUAAAAGCUUUGAAGUGAUAGCUAGUUUAGUUAAGCUGGUUUAUAUUUUCUUACACUCUCCCCCUGCCAUAACGCUUUGAAGAUAAGCACCAGUCUACAAACAAGGUUUGUGAAUGCCAAAUCCUUGUGUCAUGAACUCUUCAAUUUGUAAAGACUGGCUGGCCAUGGGAUGAUUUGUACUGUCUCCUCCUUUCCAUGAUGUAUUGUGCCUAAUUGCUCUUAAAUUGUACUCACUAAGUUUAGUUAAAACAAAGAGCUUAAAACAUGAUGUAUAGCUGCUAUACCAUGUAGUAGUUAACCAAUGUACUUUUAACACUGUGAUGUAAUCUGUAGCAAAAAGCUGUCUCUAUAAUCAACCACUUAUGCCAAUAAAAUUUGAGCAGUCCAGCGCCCUGAAAGAAAGGACAAAGAGGCUGUCUCUGUAUUUGUACAUUUGCCGACGCCGUCCAUCUCCUUUGGGGAAGUGUACACUCCCUGGCUGCUGGAGCUGGCGUCCGACAACAAAAAAUGAUAUUAUAAACAAUGUAAAAGUGAUAAACUGUUCUAACAAAAUUUAAAAAGUUUAAAGGCAUGUUUAGUAUAUAUGAUAAAAGGGCUAAUUUCUUUAAUAUGCAAGCCAUUCUUACAAAUUAAUAAGAUAAAUUGGCAGUCAUUCACUUCUUUUUUUUUUUUUUUUUUUUUUUUUUUUAUUUUCCCACUGUACAGCAAGGGGGUCAGGUUAUCCUUACAUGUAUACAUUGCAAUUACAGUUUUUCCCCCACUCUUUCUUCUGUUGCAACAUGAGUAUCUAGACAUAGUUCUCAAUGCUAUUCAGCAGGAUCUCCUUGUAAAUCUAUUCUAGGUUGUGUCUGAUAAGCCCAAGCUCCCGAUCCCUCCCACUCCCUUCCCCUCCCAUCAGGCAGCCACAAGUCUCUUCUCCAAGUCCAUGAUUUUCUUUUCUGAGUCUUAACGGCUCGAGACCUCACAGGUCAGUUAAAGGUUGAGUUCUAGGACUUCCUGCUGUGGCGCAAUGGGAUCAGCAGCAUCUCUGCAGUGCUGGAGCACAAGGUUCCAUCC